GUAACGGCGAGUGAAGCGGCAACAGCUCAAAUUUGAAAUCUGGCCCCCCGCGGGCCCGAGUUGUACUUUGGAGAGGACGCUUCUGGCGCGGCGCCGUCCGAGUUCCCUGGAACGGGACGCCGGAGAGGGUGAGAGCCCCGUACGGGCGGCCGCCUAGCCUCUGCGAAGCUCCUUCGACGAGUCGAGUAGUUUGGGAAUGCUGCUCAAAAUGGGAGGUAAAUUUCUUCUAAAGCUAAAUACCGGCCAGAGACCGAUAGCGCACAAGUAGAGUGAUCGAAAGAUGAAAAGCACUUUGAAAAGAGGGUCAAACAGUACGUGAAAUUGUUGAAAGGGAAGCGCCUGUGGCCAGACUUGCGCCCCGCGGACCACCCGGCGCCUCGCGCGCCGGGGCACGCCAGCGGGGCGCAGGCCAGCAUCGGCUCUCUCGGGGGGACAAAGGCCGCGGGAACGUAGCGCCCUCGCGGCGUAUUAUAGCCCGCGGCGCCAUGCCCCCGGGGGGGCCGAGGACCGCGCUCCGGCAAGGAUGCUGGCGUAAUGGCCACCGGCGACCCGUCUUGAAACACGGACCAAGGAGUCAAGCAUUGGGGCGAGUGUCUGGGUGGCAAGCCCGCACGCGGAAUGAAAGUGAACGCAGGUGGGAGCUUCGGCGCACCACCGACCGAUCCUGAUGUCCUCGGAUGGAUUUGAGUAGGAGCCCCGCCGCUUGGACCCGAAAGAUGGUGAACUAUGCCUGUAUAGGGUGAAGCCAGAGGAAACUCUGGUGGAGCCCGCAGCGGUUCUGACGUGCAAAUCGAUCGUCAA
RNAcentral lists this ribosomal RNA (801 nucleotides) under Harringtonia lauricola. RNAcentral's name for it is "Raffaelea lauricola partial large subunit ribosomal RNA". It matches the Rfam family "Eukaryotic large subunit ribosomal RNA", at positions 83 to 908 of the family's 3401-position model. Lineage: Eukaryota; Fungi; Ascomycota; Sordariomycetes; Ophiostomatales; Ophiostomataceae. The record is from RNAcentral.